RNAcentral lists this ribosomal RNA (253 nucleotides) under uncultured bacterium. RNAcentral describes it as "partial 16S ribosomal RNA". It matches the Rfam family "Bacterial small subunit ribosomal RNA", at positions 524 to 776 of the family's 1533-position model. The record is from RNAcentral.
GACAGAGGGGGCAAGCGUUGCUCGGAAUUACUGGGCGUAAAGGGCGCGUAGGCGGGAUGGCAAGUCGGUCGUGAAAUCCCUCGGCUCAACUGAGGAGCGUCGAUCGAAACUGCCGUUCUUGAGGGUUGCAGAGGAGACUGGAAUUCCCGGUGUAGCGGUGAAAUGUGUAGAGAUCGGGAGGAACACCGGUGGCGAAGGCGGGUCUCUGGGCAACUCCUGACGCUGAGGCACGAAGGCCAGGGGAGCAAACGGG